Molecule: transfer RNA, 83 nt
Organism: Salegentibacter mishustinae
Lineage: Bacteria; Pseudomonadati; Bacteroidota; Flavobacteriia; Flavobacteriales; Flavobacteriaceae
Rfam family: tRNA
About the family: Transfer RNA (tRNA) molecules are approximately 80 nucleotides in length. Their secondary structure includes four short double-helical elements and three loops (D, anti-codon, and T loops).
Source: Rfam
GGGGAGAUACUCAAGCGGCCAACGAGGGCAGACUGUAAAUCUGCUGUCUUUCGACUUCGCAGGUUCGAAUCCUGCUCUCCCCA